AGUGGCGGACGGGUGAGUAACACGUAAGAAUUUGCCUUUAGGAGGGGGACAACAGCUGGAAACGGCUGCUAAUACCCCAUAUGCUUUCGAGUGAAAUGGAUUUCCGCCUGAAGAGAAGCUUGCGGCUGAUUAGCUUGUUGGUGAGGUAAUGGCUCACCAAGGCGACGAUCAGUAUCUGGUUUGAGAGGACGAUCAGACACACUGGAACUGAGACACGGUCCAGACUCCUACGGGAGGCAGCAGUGGGGAAUUUUCCGCAAUGGGCGAAAGCCUGACGGAGCAAUACCGCGUGAGGGAUGAAGGCCUAUGGGUUGUAAACCUCUUUUUUCAGGGAGGAACAAAAUGACGUGUACCUGAAGAAUAAGCAUCGGCUAACUCCGUGCCAGCAGCCGCGGUAAGACGGGGGACGCAAGUGUUAUCCGGAAUCACUGGGCGUAAAGCGUCUGUAGGUGGUUAAGUAAGUCAACUUGUUAAAUCUUGAGGCUCAACCUCAAAAUCGCAGUCGAAACUGCUUGACUAGAGUAUAGUAGGGGUAAAGGGAAUUUCCAGUGGAGCGGUGAAAUGCGUAGAUAUUGGAAAGAACACCGAUGGCGAAAGCACUUUACUGGGCUAUUACUAACACUGAGAGACGAAAGCUAGGGUAGCAAAUGGGAUUAGAUACCCCAGUAGUCCUAGCUGUAAACAAUGGAUACUAGAUGUU
Molecule: ribosomal RNA, 700 nt
Filed under: uncultured bacterium
Lineage: Bacteria
Description: bacterial SSU rRNA
Rfam family: Bacterial small subunit ribosomal RNA
Source: RNAcentral